Molecule: ribosomal RNA, 253 nt
Filed under: uncultured bacterium
Lineage: Bacteria
Description: partial 16S ribosomal RNA
Rfam family: Bacterial small subunit ribosomal RNA
Source: RNAcentral
UACGUAGGGGGCUAGCGUUGUCCGGAAUCAUUGGGCGUAAAGAGCGUGUAGGCGGCCCGGUAAGUCCGCUGUGAAAGUCGGGGGCUCAACCCUCGAAUGCCGGUGGAUACUGUCGGGCUAGAGUGCGGAAGAGGCGAGUGGAAUUCCUGGUGUAGCGGUGAAAUGCGCAGAUAUCAGGAGGAACACCAAUGGCGAAGGCAGCUCGCUGGGACGGUACUGACACUGAGACGCGAAAGCGUGGGGAGCAAACAGG